This 1762-nucleotide long non-coding RNA is filed under the name Homo sapiens (human). RNAcentral describes it as "HSALNT0035755". Lineage: Eukaryota; Metazoa; Chordata; Mammalia; Primates; Hominidae. The record is from RNAcentral.
GCAUUGUGAGCAGGAUGGCAUGGCCGUGACACUGGCCCUUGGACAGCUUCGUCAGGGACUGCCCUUGGCUUGUCAUUUUCUCCCAGGCCACUUCGAGAGGGUUUGGGGCAGAACUUGAGCCUACACUUCAGCCCAGUUGCCUGCUGCUGCGUCUGCCAGAGAUUGCCAAGUCUCUCCCCACCCAAAUGUCCUCAGCAUGGGACUAAUCAAAGUGAACAGAGCUAACUGACUAAACUUCAGGACUAGACACCAGCCCAGGAGGCUCAUGUUAGGGUGAGGGGAGUGAUGAGAACCAGAGCAGCUCUUCUCUUCCUGGGGGGAGGCGUUCCAGUGUGUGUGGUGGAGGCCUGUCCUAGGGCUCAUUACAUCUACAGCGUCAGUGUUUAUUCCCACGCAGGAAGAACGUGAUGACCACACAGACCACGGUGAAAUGGAAAUGAUACAUCAACGCAGGAACAAAGCCAUCCACAAAAGAAAGCAGUAAAUCUCUCUAAGGCUGUAUUCAUCAAUAUGAGUGCACUCAGAAAGUCCCUGAGGACUCUCUUCAUUUGUCCACAAGUUACUCAGAAAGUCCAGAAAUCCACUGACCUUUGUUAAGAAGCACCACCAGGCCCCUUCCUCCCCAACACAGAAAGAGCAGAAAGAACCGAGUCCCUGAAUUAGUGCAGCAGGUCCAGAUGCAUGGGCAGGACUUCUGUGAACCACGUUCGCUUCCCAGCGAUGAAAUGGAGCCUCUGGGCUUUAAGCCAUCCCUCAGGACCCCUGAACCAGGCCUGACCCCAAGCAGAACGUGCCAGUGGUGAGCCUGCCCUGUCAUACUUCUGAGCUGGGCGGGCUCCAGCCCUCCCUCACAGGCCCGAGAGGCCACCGGAGGUGAAACCUUUAGAGCCACCUCAGCAGGUGACUAAGGGCUAAUGAGACCCCGUCAGUGCACCAGGCCUGGGGCUGAGAGACUUUAUUUGCUGAUGACAACCCUGGAAGCUUUUUGAAUUUGCUUUCCUUCCCUAGCAUCGCAAGGCCACAGUGACCCCUUGUAAGAGCUCACAGUGAGGCACUCACGUUGUGUCAGCCUUGGGUUUCGCUGGAGGCUCAGCUGUCAGCUGUGGGGUUGGCUCAGGUGGCCGUCCCAUCUUCUGCUGUAUAGGAAUUCACGGUGCGGUGCCUCCUGCAAUGAGCAGAACAAGAACUACCACUUGCUAGGGAAGGGAGAUUUUUAAUCCAGGCCCCGAGGUCACUCUAAUCUGAGUGCUCUCUGAGGUCUGGCAGAAGGGAGGAAUUCUGUGGCACAUUCAUGAUGUGAUCAGAGGGAGGAUGGUGCCUGUGAAGAAGACAGAGGUGCCGCGCUGACCCUGUGUGCAGCCAACUCUGGGGAAGGCAGUAGGCAGAAGAGAAAGCCAGGGGCCCCAGGUCAGAGGUGUCAGGCACCGAAACAGGCAACCCCUUCUUGGGAAGGAAGGCUAAGGCACAGGGCAGCGAGGCCAGCACGGAGGGGCCGCUCAGCAGCCCCGGGCCGCGACCUCCACAGAUCAGCAGGCUGGAGCCAAGGUGUGCGUUCCUUUAGUGGGUUUUCAGUUGCAAAUUCUACAUCCUUUGUCCACUGUUUAACGAAAAAAUGACGUUUCCUGCCCUCAGCCCAGUGCUUUCUCACCCCCCAAUACCAUCCUACCAUCCUCAAAGGGAGCCGUUGUGAGGAGCGCAGUUUCUGUCCGUCCAGGUGUGCAUUUACCUCUGUAUCUGCAGACACAUUUUAUUAGAAGCAAAA